Molecule: non-coding RNA, 555 nt
Organism: Triticum urartu
Lineage: Eukaryota; Viridiplantae; Streptophyta; Magnoliopsida; Poales; Poaceae
Source: RefSeq, a predicted model, not a curated record
CCGCUGCCCCGGCCCUGACAGCCCCGCCUUCGCCCACCGGGAUCCGCUCGUGCCCAAGGACUGGACAAGGGAGGCGCUCCCGGCCUCGGACGAAGAGAAAGGUUUUGCAGAGAGCACAUUGUUGAACCAGCAGUUGGCAGAUGACGACGACACAGAUGAGGAGCUUAGGCGAGAGGUACGCCUACCAGAGCACCGUUAAACGAAUUUCUGUUACUUUUUCAGUCACAUGCGUGAGGAAUGGAUGUGUUGUGCGGUUAUUGUUACUGUCAGGUUGUAGCUCUAGGUCUAUUGUGAUGUGGCUGACCUCUCUGCCGCUGGUUGGACGUCCGUAUGGUACUGUUUCAAGUUUUGCAGAGAGCACAGGCUCGAAUGAACAGUGUGUGUGGAACAAAUUCUUGUCUGAAUUCUCUUCUUGUGGGAGUAUGAACUUGCUUGCAGUAUCCUGCUUGCAGUAUCUUGGAGUAUCAACUUGGAGCAUCUGGUUAGAGUAGCAUCUUGCAACACAUUCGAUUACUCCAGUACUGAUAGUUACAGUGGCAUCUUGCAAAAUGGAGU